GUGCUCACUUUGGCAGCACAUAUACUAAAAUUGGAAUAAGAAGAUUAGCAUGGCCCCUGUGCAAGGAUGACACACAAAUUUGUGAAGUGUGCCAUAUUUUU
Molecule: small nuclear RNA, 101 nt
Organism: Gorilla gorilla gorilla (western lowland gorilla)
Lineage: Eukaryota; Metazoa; Chordata; Mammalia; Primates; Hominidae
Source: Ensembl